UGCGCGAUGGCGUUUUAAACAAAAAAUUAGGAAACCCAAAAACAGUUUAGGAAAGAGGGCAUUUCCAUACCUUCUCGGCAUCUUCCUCACCCAAUUCCUACACAACUCUUCCUCCAUCUUUCUUUCACCACUAGUUGUCUAGUCUCAAACAAAGAGUUGUUUGUACUAGACAACUAGUACUUGGUUUUGUUUUCUCUUUGUUUGUUAAUUACUAUGAAUUUGGUCCCCAGCGGCUGCGUCUUUGUUUUCCUAUAAGUCUCCAAUUAAGUGUGUGCCUAAGGCCCGCACUCCAAGCCCCCUCCCUGCUCAAUUCUGCUUUCACACUCUCAUCUACCAGUUUUGUAUUACUACUACCGGAAAGAUUGCAAUCAACUGUACUGUGAAAGGGAUGUCCAAUUCACGUGUGGUUAAUGGUGGGUGCGCUAAUGGGUUGGUGAUGGCUGAUGCGUUGGCCGAAGAUUUUGCCAAUUCUGGUGCCAUGAAGCGUCACAAGCUCAUCAUUGACACCGAUCCUGGCAUUGAUGAUAGCAUGGCUAUAUUAAUGGCAUUCCAAUCACCUGACUUGGAUAUAUUAGGAUUGACAACAAUAUAUGGUAAUGUAACUACUGAAGGUGCUACUCGCAAUGCAUUGCUUUUGUGUGAGAUUGCAGGAUAUCCAGGUGUGCCUGUAGCAGAGGGUAGCCCUGGACCUCUCAAGGGGGGGGAACCAUGCAUCGCAGACUUUGUUCAUGGUUCAGAUGGACUUGGCAACAUAUUUUUACCUCCUCCAAAAUCUAAGAAGAUUGAGAAAAGUGCAUCUGAAUUUUUGGUUGAUAAAGUAUCUGAAUACCCUGGCGAAGUAUCUAUACUUGCAUUGGCAGUCUUUCAAUUUCCAGUCAGUCAAAUAAUGUGUUCAAGCUUUUGACUGGCAGAUUUAUUGUGAUCCUGAAGCAGCAGAUGUUGUGUUUACUUCUGGGGCAAAUGUUGAUGUUGUUGGCAUAAAUAUCACAACACAAGUCAAAAUGACAGAUGCUGCCUUUGAUGAACUAAGACAAUCUCAUGGAAAACAUGCUCAAUUUGUGUGUGACAUUUGCAAAUUCUACCGUGACUGGCAUGUCAAAUCUGACGGUGUCUAUGGAAUUUUUCUUCACGACCCUGUCAGUUUUGUAGCUCUAGUCCGGCCUGAUCUCUUCACAUACAAGAAGGGGGUUGUGAGGGUUGAGACACAGGGUAUCAGCGCGGGGCAUACCCUGAUGGACCAAGGGCUGAAAAAAUGGAAUUCAAGCAACCCAUGGACAGGCCAUUCACCUAUUUCUGUAGCAUGGACUGUUGAUGCGGAUGAAGUGCUAAACUAUGUCAUGAAAAGCUUGAUGAAACCUUGACCAUAAACAUUGCCUUUGGACCGGUCAUGAAACUCCAUUAUGGAUGGUUAAUCGCUGCCUCUCUCUGCGGCAAUUGGGUACUUCUCUGUUGAAGAUAGGGCAAUGGUGGACUUAUGCUGCUCAUUAUCUUUGAUUUAUUUACACCUGAUACAUGUUCAUUUGAUGACGUAAUAAAGGAUAAUUUAUCCGGAAUAUGUUAACUUAAAAUACUAUGCAAUUGCGGAUUGGUGGCACUUGAAAUGGAUGGUUUUUUUUUAA
Molecule: non-coding RNA, 1619 nt
Organism: Coffea arabica (coffee)
Lineage: Eukaryota; Viridiplantae; Streptophyta; Magnoliopsida; Gentianales; Rubiaceae
Source: RefSeq, a predicted model, not a curated record